UACGGGAGGCAGCAGUAGGGAAUCUUCGGCAAUGGGGGGCAACCCUGACCGAGCAACGCCGCGUGAGUGAAGAAGGUUUUCGGAUCGUAAAGCUCUGUUGUAAGUCAAGAACGAGUGUGAGAGUGGAAAGUUCACACUGUGACGGUAGCUUACCAGAAAGGGACGGCUAACUACGUGCCAGCAGCCGCGGUAAUACGUAGGUCCCGAGCGUUGUCCGGAUUUAUUGGGCGUAAAGCGAGCGCAGGCGGUUUGAUAAGUCUGAAGUUAAAGGCUGUGGCUCAACCAUAGUUCGCUUUGGAAACUGUCAAACUUGAGUGCAGAAGGGGAGAGUGGAAUUCCAUGUGUAGCGGUGAAAUGCGUAGAUAUAUGGAGGAACACCGGUGGCGAAAGCGGCUCUCUGGUCUGUAACUGACGCUGAGGCUCGAAAGCGUGGGGAGCGAACAGGAUUAGAUACCCUGGUAGUCCACGCCGUAAACGAUGAGUGCUAGGUGUUGGAUCCUUUCCGGGAUUCAGUGCCGCAGCUAACGCAUUAAGCACUCCGCCUGGGGAGUACGACCGCAAGGUUGAAACUCAAAGGAAUUGACGGGGGCCCGCACAAG
This 599-nucleotide ribosomal RNA is filed under the name uncultured bacterium. Its description in RNAcentral is "bacterial SSU rRNA". It matches the Rfam family "Bacterial small subunit ribosomal RNA", at positions 340 to 929 of the family's 1533-position model. The record is from RNAcentral.